UACAGAGGGUGCAAGCGUUAAUCGGAGUUACUGGGCAUAAAGGGCGCGUAGGCGGACAUUUAAGUCAGGUGUGAAAUCCCUGGGCUCAACCUAGGAAUUGCAUCCGAUACUGAAUGUCUAGAGUAUGGUAGAGGAAAGUGGAAUUCCCGGUGUAGUGGUUAAAUACGUAGAUAUCGGGAGGAACACCAGUGGCGAAGGCGGCUUUCUGGUCCAAUACUGACGCUGAGGCGCGAAAGCGUGGGGAGCAAACAGG
This 253-nucleotide ribosomal RNA is filed under the name uncultured bacterium. RNAcentral's name for it is "partial 16S ribosomal RNA". It matches the Rfam family "Bacterial small subunit ribosomal RNA", at positions 524 to 776 of the family's 1533-position model. The record is from RNAcentral.